GCAGUGAGUGCCUCCCGUCUCUUCUACCCGAACCCCCCCUCCCCCCCCAGCAGAGAGACCCCAGCAGCAGCAGCAGCUGAUGAUGAAGAGAGAGGCAGUGGCAGAGGGGGGGCACCUUUUAUUUCUAUUUUUAAAGGGGCAGGACACUAAUUUUACCCCACUUCAACCUUGAAUUGAGGGGGGUGGGGGGAAGGCGGCUGAGUUCCUUCCCCCACCCUCCAGCCCUGAGACCUGAGAGGGGGAUUGAGCCUGAGAGAAGAAGGAGUUUCUUCUUCUUCGAAAACCCCCAUCCACGACUCCUACCCCCUCACCCCUCCACUAGCCUCCCUCCCGAGCCCCCUCCACCCUCCUCCUCUUUGGCCGUGAGAGGAGGAGAGAAAGAGACCAAAGCCUCUUAGCAACACAGACCCUUCUCUGCUGCUGCUGCUGCUGCUGCUGCUGCUGCUGUUGCUGCUGCUGCUGCUGCUGCUGCUGCUGCUGCUGCUGCUGCUGCUGCUGCUGCUGCUGCUGCUGCUGCUUGGCCCUGGCUGGAGACAUCUCACUACACCCAGGAGCAGCCACUUCCCCAGCUCUCCUCCUCCUUCGCCUCCUCCUCCUCCACUCCCCCCCUUUAUUACCCUUUGUGUCAUCCUCCACAGCUCCAGGGAAGGCACUCAAAAGUGGGGGGCAGGAAAGACACUUACCAACUUUCCAGUUUUCUAUGGAUAUGAAGAUUUACUCCUAGUCAUCAGUGGGACCCCAUGAAGUCAGCCAGAAAGCCUAUAUCCAACUUAUGUACCUUUGCAAACUUGUCUGUAUUUUGAAUGUAUGUGCAAAACAGAUUGUACUUAGGUAUUCAUUAAACAUCUUUUGAGCAUCUA
This is a long non-coding RNA of Hyaena hyaena (striped hyena), 860 nucleotides long. RefSeq lists it as uncharacterized. NCBI's taxonomy places the organism in Eukaryota, Metazoa, Chordata, Mammalia, Carnivora, Hyaenidae. The transcript is spliced from 2 exons. The record is from RefSeq and is a predicted model, not a curated record.